This 1277-nucleotide long non-coding RNA is filed under the name Sus scrofa (pig). Its description in RNAcentral is "lncRNA (ENSSSCG00055016991.1)". The record is from RNAcentral. Lineage: Eukaryota; Metazoa; Chordata; Mammalia; Artiodactyla; Suidae.
ACUAGUUUUUAUAUUUAACUUAUUAGUUUUGUAUUUUUUUUUUUGUUUUUUUUUGUCUUUUGUCUUUUUGUUGUUGUUGUUGUUGUUGUUGUUGCUAUUUCUUGGUCCGCUUCCGUGGCAUAUGGAGCGGCCCAAGAAAUGGCAAAAAAAAAAAAAAAAAAAAAAAAAAGAACAAAAACAAGGAACGAAGUAAUGUUGGAGGAAUGUAUUCAAAGGAUGGUUACCAACGGAAGCUAUGAUAUUAAUAUUAUCAUUCCAUAGUUUAAGUAUUAUUAUAUUGGAUUUGUUUUUGUACUAUAUAGAAAAUAAAUAAGUGAUUUAUUUAAGGAAAAUAUGGAAAAUUAUAUGGUUUGUUAAAUUAUAAAAGAAAAGAGGGUACAAUUAUACUUUGCUUAAGUGGUUAAAAAAUUAAGUGAUUAUGUUGCAGAGAAAUGUUAAGAUCAGAACAGAUUCAUAUCUUUUAUUUCUUACAUUUUAUUUAGUUACUUUUUUUCAGUGUGUGUAUAUUUUAUUUGUAAUGUUUAAAAUUUUUGAAUAGGUAAUACAUGACUCAAAACACCUGUUUUUUAAAAAUAAAAUAAAAUGGCUUGUAGUGAAAAGUCUUGAUAAACCCUUUCUUCUCACCAAUGAAUAAGCUAUGCUGUGAUUUUUGGCCCAAAUCCUGAAUCCUCAACAAGGUUCAUUGGAGAAAGCCGUCCUUUAAUUUCAUAAAAGGGACAAUGAUACAAACAGUAGUUACUCCCCAUAUCAUGGCCAUGUCAAACUUUAGGCCUAGCUUCAUAUAUCUUAUUAUAAGAAGGCAUUUACCCAGACAGUGUGACGAUAUAAUAGCAAGCAGUUUGAGUGCUUUGGUUUGUGCUUAAUUUUUUAGCUUUACUAUAACAUGCAUAGAAAAGUAUGUAGAUUUUUAAUGCACACAAGGAUUCACAAAGUGAACACACCCAUUUAAUCAUCCCCAAGGGCAAAAAGUAGCUUAUCAUCAGUUUUUCCCAAAACCCACUUGUGCCCCAUCCCAAUCACAAUCUCCUAUCUCCUACACAAAUAUUGCCACCACUCAUUCCAUAGAUAAUAGUUUUGGCAUUAAAGAAUAUUGCAAUAUUAUGUAGAAAAGUAUACAAACCACAUGUACAAUGCCAUGAAUUGUCACAAAGUGGAAACAUUUACAUCAUCAGCACUCAGCUUAACAUAAAAAUAAAACAAAACCAAACAAAUCACUGCCAAUGUCCCUGAAGUCCCCACUACUGUAACUUCAACAACUCUUUCUGAACUUUAUAUUG